This 4146-nucleotide long non-coding RNA is filed under the name Podarcis lilfordi (Lilford's wall lizard). Lineage: Eukaryota; Metazoa; Chordata; Lepidosauria; Squamata; Lacertidae. The record is from RNAcentral.
GCUAACGUGUUUUUUUUUAAACUCCCUCGACCCACCCACCCCCACCCGCCUCAGACUUCUGGUCGACAUGGAAAGCUUGCACACUGUUUUGCAACAUCUGGAGGGGACCUAACGCCGCUGUUUGACCAGCUCUGGAUUUUGGAAGGCCUCCACCUUUUUAUUAUGACGCUUGGAUCUUUCCUCCAAGGUGCUUAUGGGGACCAUAAACGGCCCUGUUAUUAAUAUAUUUAUUAAUUACCCUCCCUUCAACCCAAGGUCCCAGGGUGAGUUACAGCAAUUAAAACAAAAUGUUCAGAAUAGUUUACAACAACUUACAAGCCUCCAAAUAACAUGGCUCCGGAAAAUAUACCUCUCCUGUUCCUGUUUUUGAAAAUGCAAAUAAAAAUUAAAAAAGAAAAUAUAUCUUUCCGGUAUCAAAAGCCAGGGUAAAGAGGUGUCUUCAGCAUUUGCCAAAAGCCGUAUAAUAAAGAUGCCCAGUGUGCUCCACCCAUCUUUUUCAUCUUCCCAACAAACCUGAGAGUUAAGUUAGGCUAGGACUACAAAGAGCGACUGGACCAAAACCAGCAAGUUAGGCUGUGUACACAUUCCUGUUUACUCUCCAUGUAAUAGCCACAAUCUAUAUUGUCUUGUUUCUGAUGAAAUGUUGCUCGCUGGAAACUGGGGGGCAGGGGGAGAGAAUGAUGCAUUUUUUUUUAAAGCAGCAGUGCAUACACAGCCUCUGUUUCAUGUGGAUUUGAAUCUGUGUCUCCCCAGUCCUAGCCCAGUUUAUGAAGCUAUCAACUUCAUGUAACUCAACAGCCCCUCAUUUCAAUUCUCUGGCCCUGGGAUGUAAUCUGGGAUUAGGGUGGGUGCAUUUCUGAGAUCUUGGAGUCAACUGUUUCUCACCUGUAUGUUCAUUGCUUAUUCAUGACUCUUGUCCUGCCCUGCAUAGUGCUGCCUCAAUACUCAAAAUAGGCACAGCUUCUUCUGGUGGUAUUUUUGGCAUGAAGUCAUACAUUUCUCACACAUUUUUGACUCUCAGCUGUGCUUGCUUCUGAAGGAAGCCUGUUCGUAUUAGUGAGUUUACUUUGGAGAAAAAGCCACUGGGGAACAGUAGCCUGUUUCAUAAUCGGCAAGAAGGCACUGUCACAAAUUUCAGGGUCUUUUCACCUUUCAGUCAUUAAUGGUGUUUCAGCAUGUACUGCUGUAAUUUGAUCUGACAUUGCAGUUUCACUGAAGAUAGGUGCUUCCCCAUGUGUGAAACACUACAACCAACAUGUAGGUUAGUGUGAGAACAUAAUCUCAUUGAUAAGUUUCUUGCAUGUUAAUGGCAAUAACUAGUCUCUGCAAGUGAACUACGUUAGCUGUGUACAGGCGUAAAUUUUGCAGAAUUUAUUUUGUGCUUUGAGGUGCACCAGCUGAAGUACACAGUAGUCGCUUGGGGUGGAGUCAGAUGCAAAAUGGUAUCUUGGGGUGCAGCCACUUAAGUAUCACAUCCAAGUACACAUCUACUUUCAUGUGCAAUUAAAGAUCAGGGGCUUUAGCAGCCUAAUUUAAAGUAGCCUUGUACAUAAUCCCACAAAGGUGACCAGCAUGGAAAUAUAUUUACAGUGAUACAUCGGGUUAAGAACUUAAUUCAUUCUGGAGGUCUGUUCUUAACUUGAAAGUGUUCUUAACCUGAAGCACCACUUUAGCUAAUGGGGCCUCCUGCUGCCACCGCGCCGCUGGAGCACGAUUCCUGUUCUCAUCCUGAAGCAAAGUUCUUAACCCGAGGUAAUAUUUCUGGGUUAGUGGAGUCUGUAAGCUGAAGCAUAUGUAACCUGAAGCAUAUGUAACCCGAGGUACCACUGUACUGGCCUGUUGUGGCCUGCCAAGAAGGGGACAAAGGGAUUGGUUCCUCCAACUGCAUGCAGUUGGUUUUUGUUGCUGUUGCUAUUGUCAAAUCUACAAGCAAUAAAGUGGUAGAACAGAGCUUUCCAAACUCUGCGUCACGACAUGUUUGUGUGUAGGUGUGUCGCACAAAUGCUCCCUCCUGGCCCUGGAAAGGGUUCGUUUAACCUCCGGUUUGCUAGUAAAAUUGAAUUACUGUGUCACGAAAUGAUGCAUGUCCAAAAAGCAUGUCACCAACUUGAAAAGUUCUGUGGUAGAGCCUCAUCUACUUUCUGUCUACCCCUGUGUUAGGAAGAGUAUCACUGUGGAUUUGGAACUAAUGAGGGCUUUCUUCACACUUCGCUCCAAAAGUAGUCCGUUACAGUAGCAGCAACCAUGCUCCCUCCAAACCAAAUAGCGACACCUUCCAGAGAAAUUGUUAAUACAGCCUGAAUAAAACUUACCACCCACAGAAAGCUUUAAAGUCAACAGAAUUGAGGCAUAACUUGGGAACAUUUUGGAGUGGCAGAAAAACACAACCUCUCCCAUUCAUCACUGAUUAUUAAGUACUAGCAGAGCAUCAUAGGUUCCUAGGCAAAAUACAUACAGUAAUGCCUUUUCUUUUGUGUCUGUAGGAAUCUGGACAGGCUAACUUGACUAUUGAUUCCAGCAAUAAAGUUCUCCUCAAUCCUAUCCCAUGUUUCAGGAGUACCUGUAGCCCUCCAAAUGUUGCUGAACUGCCCCUCCCAUCAUCCUUGACCGUUACCCAUGCUGGGUGGAGUUAAUGGGAGUCGUGGGCGUAGCCAUGAUUUUUGUUAGUGCAGGCAGGCCUGGGGGGGCGGGCAGAACCUCAGUUUGCUAUGUAUUUUUAUUGAUUUGGGGGGGGAGCUGCCCCACCUUGGCUACACUCAUGGCUGCAGUCCAGUAACAUCUGGAGGGCUCUGGGUUCCCUACACUUGCUGUAUAUACAACAAAGCAGUCAUUUUGGCAUCCUUCAAAAACUAAAAGGGCUUUCCCUCUUGGGACCUCCUGGGUAUCAUGGCUUCUUUGUCCCACUCAGAUUGGAGCAAUGAAUCAAUCAAAGCUCCCUCCAGCUAGUUGCAUUCCCACACAUGCCUUUGGGUGCAUAGACCCUAUACAUUCAAGGUUCACACACUGUGGAAUCCUGGGAACCAUAGUUCUGGGAGUUAUAGCUUUGUACAGGGUAAACUAAACUUCCCAGGAUUCUUUGGAGUGGGAGAAAUGCACCUUAAAUAUAUGGUAUGCACACAGUCCCAAUUAGUUACCCUACCAGGAAGAAUUACAUAGGGCUUACAGUCAGUUCUCUGCCUCCAGUGAGCUUCUGCUUCUUGAACAGCAAGUUGUUGCCCAUUUGUUCUUGCUUCAUAGCUAGCCUUAGGCACAGAUCCUGCACUCUUGCCAGAUCCUUUUGUCUCAGCAGCAGCCAGCUCCCAAUAUUGCCAUAUUCCAUGCAAUUUUUAGCAAUGUUAAGGACACUGUAUAUAACAUUUGUAACCCACCAACUCCUUUUUAAAAAAAUCACAGCAAUGUACAAUAAAUCAUUAAAACAUCAUAAAUGCAGAACAAAUGAGCAACACUUACUGAAAUUAGUCCCACUAGCAAGACAGAAACAUUUUCAGGUGACAAAAUAUCAGGGGCCUGUCAGAUUUCAAUAGGAAAAGUGUCCCAAAUUACUGUUGGCACUAUGCUAAAAGCCUCAAUUCAUGUCAAAGCUAAAUAAAUAACUGUGGGACAGUUGGGAGGGCUUCUUCAGGUGAUCACAGUGGCUGGCCAGUUUGUAAGGGAUAAUGUGAUCUUCUAGGUAGCCUGUUCUUUAGCCAUUUAGGGCUUAAUACACCAACAGUAAUACCUUAAAACUAGCUCAGUAAUGUACUGGCAGCAGUGUAGCGCUUUCAAUGCAGGUAUAAUAUGGUGGUGUGGAGCUGUUCUGGCCAGAAGCUGGGCUAUAGCAUUCUGUGCAAGCUACAGUUUCCAAACCAACCUCAAGGGUAGCCCCACAUAGAACACAUUGCAGUAGUUCAGCUUACAUGUUCAUAUGCACUUAAAUGGAAAUGGAAAAACAGGCCCAGCAAUCAGAACCUAUGCUGUCAUGGAGAUGUCACCUAAAGACCCGUCACUGUCAAAGCUGAUCACUGCAACAUUAUUUCUGAUUUAAUUAUUGUUGUUUUAAAAAAACUGUAGGCACCUGUCUAGGAAUGUACAAGGCGACAGAUGCUAAUUUUACUAUAUUUACUUUAUCUUAUCAUUUUCUACAGCAAAAGUGUGCUUAUUCCCAGG